RNAcentral lists this ribosomal RNA (253 nucleotides) under uncultured bacterium. RNAcentral's name for it is "partial 16S ribosomal RNA". It matches the Rfam family "Bacterial small subunit ribosomal RNA", at positions 524 to 776 of the family's 1533-position model. The record is from RNAcentral.
UACGUAGGGCGCAAGCGUUGUCCGGAAUUAUUGGGCGUAAAGAGCUCGUAGGUGGCGUGUCGCGUCUGCCGUGAAAGCCCAUGGCUUAACUGUGGGUCUGCGGUGGAUACGGGCAGGCUGGAGGCUGGUAGGGGCAAGCGGAAUUCCUGGUGUAGCGGUGAAAUGCGCAGAUAUCGGGAGGAACACCAGCGGCGAAGGCGGCACUCUGGGCUGGUACUGACGCUGAGGAGCGAAAGCGUGGGUAGCAAACAGG